RNAcentral lists this long non-coding RNA (362 nucleotides) under Brassica rapa (field mustard). Its description in RNAcentral is "long non-coding RNA (BRAP_LNC008853)". The record is from RNAcentral. Lineage: Eukaryota; Viridiplantae; Streptophyta; Magnoliopsida; Brassicales; Brassicaceae.
CCUAUCCGACCUAGGCAUCUUGCUGAGAGAGACAUACGUCCAGCAGCAGAUUCCAUCCGCCAAUCUACUCUUUUCUCUAUCUUUUGUUUUAGAUUUCAUUCAUCCAAUUCCAUAAAAACCAAAAGAAUCAUAUCUUGUUCUGUUCUUGUUCCUAUUGAAAACUCACUAAAGGUUCCUAUCUGUUUCAGGAUCGAACACAAGCAAGAGACGAGCCGGCCGGUACCAUCCAUCCGAGGCAAGGUUGAACCGCGGAACGGCCAUCCGUCCAUCCGUUCGACCCUCCGACCCGUGCCUACAACAUUUUGGUAUCAGAGCUGAAGUUUCCUGCGAAACUCAGUUCUUUCUGAACCCUAGCCGUCACA